UACAGAGGGUGCAAGCGUUAAUCGGAAUUACUGGGCGUAAAGAGCUCGUAGGUGGUUUGUCGCGUUGUUCGUGAAAACUCACAACUCAAUUGUGGGCGUGCGGGCGAUACGGGCAGACUGGAGUACUGCAGGGGAGACUGGAAUUCCUGGUGUAGCGGUGGAAUGCGCAGAUAUCAGGAGGAACACCGGUGGCGAAGGCGGGUCUCUGGGCCGAUACUGACGCUGAGGAGCGAAAGCCAGGGGAGCAAACGGG
RNAcentral lists this ribosomal RNA (253 nucleotides) under uncultured bacterium. Its description in RNAcentral is "partial 16S ribosomal RNA". It matches the Rfam family "Bacterial small subunit ribosomal RNA", at positions 524 to 776 of the family's 1533-position model. The record is from RNAcentral.